This 307-nucleotide RNase P RNA is filed under the name Methylophilaceae bacterium. Its description in RNAcentral is "RNase P RNA component class A". It matches the Rfam family "Bacterial RNase P class A". Rfam says of the family: Ribonuclease P (RNase P) is a ubiquitous endoribonuclease, found in archaea, bacteria and eukarya as well as chloroplasts and mitochondria. Its best characterised activity is the generation of mature 5'-ends of tRNAs by cleaving the 5'-leader elements of precursor-tRNAs. The record is from RNAcentral. Lineage: Bacteria; Pseudomonadati; Pseudomonadota; Betaproteobacteria; Nitrosomonadales; Methylophilaceae.
GAAGCUGGCUAGACAGUCGCCGCUCACCUAGUGUGGGGGGAGGAAAGUCCGGGCUCCGCAGAGCAGAAUGACGGCUAACGGCCGUACGUCGUGAGACGAGGAAUAGGGCCACAGAGACGAGCGUAUUCAGUUACGGUGAAACGCGGUAACCUCCAUUCGGAGCAAAGCCAAAUAGGGUAGCGAUAGCGUGGCUCGCGCUGCUACCGGGUAGGCUGCUUGAGCGCAUGAGUAAUUAUGCGCCUAGAUGAAUGACUGUCAGGCGUAGCAAUACGUCACACAGAACCCGGCUUAUCGGCCAGCUUCACUU